AGAACGAACGCUGGCGGCAUGCCUAACACAUGCAAGUCGAACGAGACCUUCGGGUCUAGUGGCGCACGGGUGCGUAACGCGUGGAAUCUGCCCUUGGGUACGGAAUAACAGUUAGAAAUGACUGCUAAUACCGUAUAAUGACUUCGGUCCAAAGAUUUAUCGCCCAGGGAUGAGCCCGCGUAGGAUUAGCUUGUU
RNAcentral lists this ribosomal RNA (195 nucleotides) under uncultured soil bacterium. RNAcentral's name for it is "partial 16S ribosomal RNA". It matches the Rfam family "Bacterial small subunit ribosomal RNA", at positions 26 to 250 of the family's 1533-position model. The record is from RNAcentral.